RNAcentral lists this small RNA (578 nucleotides) under Pongo abelii (Sumatran orangutan). RNAcentral's name for it is "retained intron". Lineage: Eukaryota; Metazoa; Chordata; Mammalia; Primates; Hominidae. The record is from RNAcentral.
ACUUGUUCCGGCAAGUGUGUCUCUGUCUUGCUGCUUUCCUUUUUCUCUUUUCCAGAUGAUUGGUGAUCAAUCUAUCCAGCUGCCGGUAUGAGAGUGUGCGCAGGGCUGCCCAACAGUACGGCCUUAGAGAGGGAGGGGAAGACGAUGACUGGACUCUCUAUUGGACAGAUUACUCGGUGUCACUGGAGCGGGUGAUGGAAAUGAAAAGUUACCAGAAGAUCAAUCACUUCCCCGGGAUGAGUGAAAUCUGCCGGAAGGACUUGCUGGCCAGGAAUAUGAGCCGCAUGUUAAAGAUGUUCCCUAAAGAUUUCCACUUUUUCCCUAGGACCUGGUGUCUUCCUGCUGACUGGGGAGAUUUGCAGACCUACAGCAGGUCAAGAAAAAAUAAGACAUACAUUUGUAAGCCGGAUUCGGGCUGCCAAGGGAAAGGUAUAUUCAUCACCCGGACAGUGAAAGAAAUCAAACCAGGGGAGGAUAUGAUCUGUCAGCUCUAUAUUUCAAAGCCCUUUAUCAUUGAUGGGUUUAAGUUUGACCUACGGAUUUAUGUACUGGUGACAUCCUGUGACCCUCUCAGAAUU